Molecule: ribosomal RNA, 293 nt
Filed under: uncultured bacterium
Lineage: Bacteria
Description: partial 16S ribosomal RNA
Rfam family: Bacterial small subunit ribosomal RNA
Source: RNAcentral
AGCGGAGCGUGUGGUUUAAUUCGAUGCUAAGCGAAGAACCUUACCUGGGCUUGACAUGUUGAUAGUAGAAACCCGAAAGGGUGACGAACUGUAAAGUCAGUAAUCAUCACAGAUGCUGCAUGGCUGUCGUCAGCUCGUGCCGUGAGGUGUUGGGUUAAGUCCCACAACGAGCGCAACCCUCGUCGUCAGUUGGAUCUCUCUGGCGAGACUGCUGCGCAGAACGCAGAGGAAGGUGGGGAUGACGUCAAGUCAGCACGGCUCUUACGCCCAGGGCUACACACACGCUACAAUGG